Molecule: transfer RNA, 108 nt
Filed under: Candidatus Aenigmatarchaeota archaeon
Lineage: Archaea; Nanobdellati; Candidatus Aenigmatarchaeota
Description: tRNA-OTHER
Rfam family: tRNA
About the family: Transfer RNA (tRNA) molecules are approximately 80 nucleotides in length. Their secondary structure includes four short double-helical elements and three loops (D, anti-codon, and T loops).
Source: RNAcentral
GGGCCGGUAGUCUAGAUGGUUAUGACGUCGCCCUAUGCAAGCCGUUUCGAUUGUUUGCAGACGACUACAAGGCGAAGGUCGCAAGUUCGAAUCUUGCCCGGCCCACCA